RNAcentral lists this ribosomal RNA (253 nucleotides) under uncultured bacterium. RNAcentral describes it as "partial 16S ribosomal RNA". It matches the Rfam family "Bacterial small subunit ribosomal RNA", at positions 524 to 776 of the family's 1533-position model. The record is from RNAcentral.
GACGAACCGUGCGAACGUUGUUCGGAUUCACUGGGCUUAAAGGGCGCGUAGGCGGCUUGCCAAGUCAGGGGUGAAAUCUUUCGGCUCAACCGGAAAAGUGCUUCUGAUACGGGCAGACUAGAGGCAGGUAGGGGAGAAUGGAAUUCCCGGUGUAGCGGUGAAAUGCGCAGAUAUCGGGAGGAACACCGGUGGCGAAGGCGGUUCUCUGGGCCUGACCUGACGCUGAGGAGCGAAAGCGUGGGGAGCGAACAGG